Molecule: ribosomal RNA, 1882 nt
Filed under: marine metagenome
Description: bacterial LSU rRNA
Rfam family: Archaeal large subunit ribosomal RNA
Source: RNAcentral
GGAGUGAGCCACGGUGGGUAAGCUACCGUGACGAAAGGUGAAGAAACCAGCUCAGUGUUAAGGUCCCAAAAUUACAGUUAAGUGUUAAUUACAAACGGAGUCCGUGGUCGAAGACAACUAGAAGGUGGGCUUAGAGGCAGCCAUCCUUGAAAGAGUUCGUAACAGAUCACUAGUCAAGCUUGCGGGCCCGAAAAAUGGACGGGACUAAAACUGUAUACCGAUACACUGAUCCUUCGAAAGAAGAUGAGGUAGCGCGGCGACAUGCUCGGGUAGAAGCUCGGUUUUGAGAUCGGGUGGACCGUGUAUGUAUGAGAAUCUAGGGAAGAGUAGCAGCAUAGUGCGGUGAGAAUCCGCACCACCGAAGGGGUAAGGGUUCCUCGGCAAUGGUUAUCAGCCGAGGGUUAGCCGAUCCUAAGGUCAUUCCUAACCGAAAUGAUCGAAAGGGAAUUGCGUUAAUAUUCGUAAGCCCCUCUUACAUUAAUGGUGACGGCUUGGGCUAGUUUAUGCGCAUCAGUCAUGGUGCGUCGAAGCGUUCAAUAAUCGAAUGGAGAACCGUAAUGGUGAGAAGUUCGAGAAGACGUGAGCAAAAGAUAGAUGAGGCCUAGGUCCCAUGAAAAGCCGUAAGAGGUGAUCGUACCAAGAUCUGACACAGGUACCCAAGGUGAGAAGCCUAAGGUGUGACGGGCAAAGUAUCGUGAAGGAACUCGGCAAAAUCGCUCUGUAACUUCGGGAGAAGGAGUGCCAGGUUCGAGAGAACCUGGUCGCAGUAACAAGGGGACUCCGACUGUUUAAUAAAAACAUAGCCGACUGCUAGUUCGAAAGGAUGUGUAUAGUCGGUGAAUCCUGCUCAGUGCCGGUAUCUGAAAUCGGGUUUCAACCUGAUGAAGGACCGGUAAACAGCGGGGGUAACUAUGACCCUCUUAAGGUAGCGUAAUACCUUGUCGCUUAAUUGGCGACUUGCAUGAAUGGCACAACGAGAGUCCCACUGUCUCCACGAUACGUCCGGCGAAAUUGACUAUUACUGGCGCACAGUCCAGUAACCUCAACCUGCAAGCGAAGACCCCAUAGAGCUUUACUACAGCCUGGCGUUGAAUAAUCGCACACUAUGUGCUGAGUAGACGGGAGAUGUUGAUCAUCUGGACGCCAGUUCAGAUGGGAGUCGUCCAUAGAGACACCGUCCUUAGUUUGUAAUUAUUCUAACUCUUUUAGAGAACACCGUUUGGUGGGUAGUUUGGGUGGGGCGCCACGCGCCCGAAAAUAUAACAGGCGUGCCCAAAGGUCAGCUUAGGUGGUUCAGUCUCCACCGUUAACCGUAAGGGGAAAAGCUGGCUUGACGUGGAUCGGACCAAUAACGAUCGACGAUGCGAAAGCAGGGCCUAACGAACCAAUCUACCUCAUUUAUGGGGGUGAUUGAUAACAGAAAAGUUACCUUGGGGAUAAUUGAGUUGUCACCAGCAAGAGCACAUAUCGACCUGGUGGCUUGCUACUUCGAUGUCGUCUCUUCCCAACCUCCUGGUGCAGCAGCUGGGAAGGGUGGGGUUGUUCGCCCAUUAAAGGGGAUCGUGAGAUGGGUUUAGACCGUCGUGAGACAGGUUUGUUGCUUUGUGGUUGAGGCGUAUCAGAUGCCUGAUCGGAAGGGUCCUUUAGUACGAGAGGAACGAGGACUCGGAGCCACUAGUUUACCAGUUGUCCGACAGGGCAAUGCUGGGUAGCCACGCUCCAGUGGAUAAGAGCUGAAAGCAUCUAAGCUCGAAGUCAUCCGAAAGACGAGGCAUCUCAGGGGACUCAUAGAAGAUGAGUUUGAUAGACAGCGGGUGUAAGUACCGAGGGUUCGCCCGAGGUAUUCAGCCCAGCUGCACUAACCCCCCGAGCAUUCAUCAAU